This is a long non-coding RNA of Pantherophis guttatus, 860 nucleotides long. RefSeq lists it as uncharacterized. The record is from RefSeq and is a predicted model, not a curated record. NCBI's taxonomy places the organism in Eukaryota, Metazoa, Chordata, Lepidosauria, Squamata, Colubridae.
CCACUCUACUUGCCUCUUUUUCCGGCCCUUGUUGGUGCUGUGCACACCUCAGCCACUGGGGGAGACACCCAACUUUUCUCCAUCCUGAGACACUGGCUGGGCCAGCUACAGCUGAUGCUCCAUGUCAUAAUGGGCUCGAGGAGGAGGAGGAGGGGACACUGUCUAGCCCAUUGUGAAGCAUGCUAAGUUUAAGCGUGCUGCACAAGAUGCUGCAAGAGCAGCGAGCAGCCAUGGAGGCAACGAGAGCAGCAGUGUCAGCAGCAGCCAGCCACCCAGUGUCUCAGGGUAGAGAGAAAGUCACACAUCUCCCCAUAUUCCUCUCGCUGCCUCCAUAGCUGGGCUUUCAUCAGCAUGGUGUGAACUGAUGACAGGCCUGUUCUGGAGAGGAAUUCUGUGUCUGGCACCUUGUCCUGCCACUGGAUCUUCAGAAUUCUGUGGAGAGGUGUACAAUGGAUCAUCUUUCAGUUCCUGAGGAAUGGAUCCUUGAUUCCAGAAAGAUUGGAACAGAAUCCUCUUCUCUAUUAAAUCCGUCAGUCCCAUGAGGUUUGGCAGGAGAGACAUGCUGCGCACCCUGUUUGAAAAGACUUUCAACUGAUGGGAAUCUAGGAGUGAACCUUUUCUGGCAUAUAGCCAUCCUCUGAAACAUCAUCCCUCCUGAGAUAGAUCUUCCGCAAGCAAAUCAUAUAUACUUGAAAGGUGGCAUCCUUGCUUUUAAGGAAUCGUUAACCCUCGCAGUGAUGUGCAUGGAAGGCAGUAGACAAACAUGACAGAGAGGAGGGAGUCUGGAAUCAACUCUCUGAUCAAGAUUAUUCUCUCAUCCCAUCAAAAAUAAAUAAAUAUCAACAUGCACAUAAAGAAAA